RNAcentral lists this long non-coding RNA (247 nucleotides) under Gossypium barbadense (sea-island cotton). Its description in RNAcentral is "long non-coding RNA (GBAR_LNC012869)". The record is from RNAcentral. Lineage: Eukaryota; Viridiplantae; Streptophyta; Magnoliopsida; Malvales; Malvaceae.
ACAUACACCUAACAUACCAUUAUAAACAUCCCAAAUCAUCUAACCAAUAUGCCAUUCAAAGGCAUAACAAUUAUACCAGAACAUCAACAACCAAAUCAAGUCAAUAUAACCAUACCUUAAGCACAAAACCUAGUUCAUUUAUCUAUCAAAAGACAUAUCAAAUGACCAUUUACAUGCCAUAUGCCAUCAAAAACAUACCAGAAGGGUCUUAUGUACAAGCACUUAAAAGUAACUAAAAUGACAUAAC